Molecule: ribosomal RNA, 253 nt
Filed under: uncultured bacterium
Lineage: Bacteria
Description: partial 16S ribosomal RNA
Rfam family: Bacterial small subunit ribosomal RNA
Source: RNAcentral
UACGUAGGGUGCAAGCGUUGUCCGGAAUUAUUGGGCGUAAAGAGCUCGUAGGCGGUUUGUCGCGUCGGCUGUGAAAACCUGGGGCUCAACCCCGGGCCUGCAGCCGAUACGGGCAAACUAGAAUUCGGUAGGGGAGACUGGAAUUCCUGGUGUAGCGGUGAAAUGCGCAGAUAUCAGGAGGAACACCGGUGGCGAAGGCGGGUCUCUGGGCAGAUAUUGACGCUGAGGAGCGAAAGCGUGGGGAGCGAACAGG